GGCUCAGGACGAACGCUGGCGGCGUGCCUAAUACAUGCAAGUAGAACGCUGAAGAGAGGAGCUUGCUCUUCUUGGAUGAGUUGCGAACGGGUGAGUAACGCGUAGGUAACCUGCCUUGUAGCGGGGGAUAACUAUUGGAAACGAUAGCUAAUACCGCAUAACAAUGGAUGACCCAUGUCAUUUAUUUGAAAGGGGCAAAUGCUCCACUACAAGAUGGACCUGCGUUGUAUUAGCUAGUAGGUGAGGUAACGGCUCACCUAGGCGACGAUACAUAGCCGACCUGAGAGGGUGAUCGGCCACACUGGGACUGAGACACGGCCCAGACUCCUACGGGAGGCAGCAGUAGG
This 347-nucleotide ribosomal RNA is filed under the name uncultured Streptococcus sp. RNAcentral describes it as "bacterial SSU rRNA". It matches the Rfam family "Bacterial small subunit ribosomal RNA", at positions 21 to 358 of the family's 1533-position model. The record is from RNAcentral. Lineage: Bacteria; Bacillati; Bacillota; Bacilli; Lactobacillales; Streptococcaceae.